This 753-nucleotide long non-coding RNA is filed under the name Gallus gallus (chicken). The record is from RNAcentral. Lineage: Eukaryota; Metazoa; Chordata; Aves; Galliformes; Phasianidae.
GGCAGAUAAAACAUACUAUAGCAUUAACUAUAAACUGAACGUCUAUUCUCAUCAAAACGGUGCUGCACUGCUCUGCUCCGAGGUACCUCAGCGCUUCCCGCCAAAACGGUGCUGCACCGCCCCGCUCUGAGGUACCUCAGUACUUCCCGCCGAAACGCUGCAGCUGAGCGUGAGCUGUGCUGUGCUCCCUGAGGCACCUCUGUGUCUCCUGACUGAACGCUGCUGUUGACCCCUCGGAGGCAUUUCUAGCACUGUUGCCCUGUCGAGGCUUGGUCUUACCUCUGUUUCCCGAGCAACGCCCAGCACUUAGAAGCAGCCCAGCACUGCCCCUACACUAAUUUCUCCCAUGCAGGCCUGUGUGCCUGCACAACUGUGUCACUAAGGAGUGUGAUGGCCGUCCCGAGAGCUCACAGACAUUCAUCAGAGGGAGAAAGCCACCAGGUCCUGCACAAGGCGUACAUCUUCCCUGUUGCUCGAACCUGGCAAGCGCAGACCUGAGAAUUAAAGAGAACAGUUGCUGGGAAAACAAACGGAUGCCUCUUGAGUUCACUCCUCUGAAACAUAAGCCUGUAAACAUCCGUAACCUCUGCCUUGCAAGCCAUUCUCGCACUGAAGUCCAUGAGCUGUUUGCUUUGAACAAAGAUUUUGAAUACCGUACUUUUCUGAAAAGCCAAAAGAAGUUGGGCUAACAGAUUUCCUAAUGGAUCUGUCUCCAUUAUCAAACAUUGGUCAUCACAUCAGCUUGAGACCUGC